AGAGUUUGAUCCUGGCUCAGGAUGAACGUUGGCGGCGUGCCUAACACAUGCAAGUCGAACGGCAAUAGCAAUAUUGGAGUGGCGCACGGGUGAGUAACACGUAGCUCAUCUUCCUCAAAGCGCGGGAUAACGUGUCGAAAGACAGGCUAAUACCGCAUAAGCUCGCGACCUGUAGAGGGUUGCGAGAAAAGGCGCAAGCCACUCUGAGAUGAGGCUGCGACCCAUCAGCUAGUUGGUGAGGUAAAAGCUAACCAAGGCAACGACGGGUAGGGGACCUGAGAGGGUGACCCCCCACACUGGGACUGAGACACGGCCCAGACUCCUACGGGAGGCAGCAGUGAGGAAUAUUGCACAAUGGGCGCAAGCCUGAUGCAGCGACGCCGCGUGGGUGAAGAAGGUUUUCGGAUCGUAAAACCCUUUUCUGUGUGACGAGCAAGGACGGUAGCACAGAAAUAUGUUCCGU
Molecule: ribosomal RNA, 463 nt
Filed under: uncultured soil bacterium
Lineage: Bacteria
Description: bacterial SSU rRNA
Rfam family: Bacterial small subunit ribosomal RNA
Source: RNAcentral